AGUGAACGCUGGCGGUAGGCCUAACACAUGCAAGUCGAACGGCAGCACAGUAAGAGCUUGCUCUUACGGGUGGCGAGUGGCGGACGGGUGAGGAAUACAUCGGAAUCUACUUUUUCGUGGGGGAUAACGUAGGGAAACUUACGCUAAUACCGCAUACGACCUACGGGUGAAAGCAGUGGAUCUUCGGACCUUUCGCGUUUGUAUGAGCUGAUGUCGCAUUAGCUAGUUGGCGGGGUAAAGGCCCACCAAGGCGACGAUCCGUAGCUGGUCUGAGAGGAUGAUCAGCCACACUGGAACUGAGACACGGUCCAGACUCCUACGGGAGGCAGCAGUGGGGAAUAUUGGACAAUGGGCGCAAGCCUGAUCCAGCCAUACCGCGUGGGUGAUGAAGGUCUUCGGGUUGUAAAGCCCUUUUAUUGGGAAAGAAAAGCAGCAGGUUAAUACCCCGCUGUUCUGACGGUACCUAAAGAAUAAGCACCGGCUAACUUCGUG
This 492-nucleotide ribosomal RNA is filed under the name uncultured bacterium. Its description in RNAcentral is "partial 16S ribosomal RNA". It matches the Rfam family "Bacterial small subunit ribosomal RNA", at positions 29 to 507 of the family's 1533-position model. The record is from RNAcentral.